Molecule: ribosomal RNA, 465 nt
Filed under: uncultured bacterium
Lineage: Bacteria
Description: partial 16S ribosomal RNA
Rfam family: Bacterial small subunit ribosomal RNA
Source: RNAcentral
GACGAACGCUGGCGGCGUGCUUAACACAUGCAAGUCGUACGGUAAGGCCCUUUCGGGGGUACACGAGUGGCGAACGGGUGCGUAACACGUGAGUAACCUGCCCACAACUUUGGGAUAACGCUAGGAAACUGGUGCUAAUACUGGAUGUGUGCUCCUGCUGCAUGGUGGGGGUUGGAAAGCUCCGGCGGUUGUGGAUGGACUCGCGGCCUAUCAGCUUGUUGGUGGGGUAGUGGCCUACCAAGGCGGCGACGGGUAGCCGGCCUGAGAGGGUGACCGGCCACAUUGGGACUGAGAUACGGCCCAGACUCCUACGGGAGGCAGCAGUGGGGAAUAUUGCACAAUGGGCGCAAGCCUGAUGCAGCAACGCCGCGUGCGGGAUGACGGCCUUCGGGUUGUAAACCGCGUUCAGCAGGGACGAAGCUUUUUGUGACGGUACCUGCAGAAGAAGCACCGGCUAACUACGUG